RNAcentral lists this ribosomal RNA (203 nucleotides) under uncultured bacterium. Its description in RNAcentral is "partial 16S ribosomal RNA". It matches the Rfam family "Bacterial small subunit ribosomal RNA", at positions 1299 to 1500 of the family's 1533-position model. The record is from RNAcentral.
UGCAGUCUGCAACUCGACUGCAUGAAGCCGGAAUCGCUAGUAAUCGCGGAUCAGAAUGCCGCGGUGAAUACGUUCCCGGGUCUUGUACACACCGCCCGUCACACCAUGGGAGUCGGAAAUGCCCGAAGCCGGUGGCCUAACCGAUAAGGGAGGAGCCGUCGAAGGCAGGUCUGAUGACUGGGGUGAAGUCGUAACAAGGUAAC